RNAcentral lists this ribosomal RNA (386 nucleotides) under Burkholderia pseudomallei. RNAcentral's name for it is "bacterial SSU rRNA". It matches the Rfam family "Bacterial small subunit ribosomal RNA", at positions 1 to 386 of the family's 1533-position model. The record is from RNAcentral. Lineage: Bacteria; Pseudomonadati; Pseudomonadota; Betaproteobacteria; Burkholderiales; Burkholderiaceae.
AUUGAACUGAAGAGUUUGAUCCUGGCUCAGAUUGAACGCUGGCGGCAUGCCUUACACAUGCAAGUCGAACGGCAGCACGGGCUUCGGCCUGGUGGCGAGUGGCGAACGGGUGAGUAAUACAUCGGAACAUGUCCUGUAGUGGGGGAUAGCCCGGCGAAAGCCGGAUUAAUACCGCAUACGAUCUGAGGAUGAAAGCGGGGGACCUUCGGGCCUCGCGCUAUAGGGUUGGCCGAUGGCUGAUUAGCUAGUUGGUGGGGUAAAGGCCUACCAAGGCGACGAUCAGUAGCUGGUCUGAGAGGACGACCAGCCACACUGGGACUGAGACACGGCCCAGACUCCUACGGGAGGCAGCAGUGGGGAAUUUUGGACAAUGGGCGCAAGCCUGA